ACUUUUAUAGGAUAGUAGGAAUCCGUUGGCCUUAGGAGUCAAAAACUUGGUGCAACUCCAAAUAAAAGUA
This 70-nucleotide transfer RNA is filed under the name Scapanulus oweni (Gansu mole). Its description in RNAcentral is "tRNA-Leu". It matches the Rfam family "tRNA". Rfam says of the family: Transfer RNA (tRNA) molecules are approximately 80 nucleotides in length. Their secondary structure includes four short double-helical elements and three loops (D, anti-codon, and T loops). Further hydrogen bonds mediate the characteristic L-shaped molecular structure. tRNAs have two regions of fundamental functional importance: the anti-codon, which is responsible for specific mRNA codon recognition, and the 3' end, to which the tRNAs corresponding amino acid is attached (by aminoacyl-tRNA synthetases). tRNAs cope with the degeneracy of the genetic code in two manners: having more than one tRNA (with a specific anti-codon) for a particular amino acid; and 'wobble' base-pairing, i.e. permitting non-standard base-pairing at the 3rd anti-codon position. The record is from RNAcentral. Lineage: Eukaryota; Metazoa; Chordata; Mammalia; Eulipotyphla; Talpidae.